This 469-nucleotide ribosomal RNA is filed under the name uncultured bacterium. Its description in RNAcentral is "partial 16S ribosomal RNA". It matches the Rfam family "Bacterial small subunit ribosomal RNA", at positions 28 to 507 of the family's 1533-position model. The record is from RNAcentral.
GAUGAACGCUGGCGGCGUGCUUAACACAUGCAAGUCGAACGGUGAACACGGAGCUUGCUCUGUGGGAUCAGUGGCGAACGGGUGAGUAACACGUGAGCAACCUGCCCCUGACUCUGGGAUAAGCGCUGGAAACGGCGUCUAAUACUGGAUAUGUGACGUGACCGCAUGGUCUGCGUUUGGAAAGAUUUUUCGGUUGGGGAUGGGCUCGCGGCCUAUCAGCUUGUUGGUGAGGUAAUGGCUCACCAAGGCGUCGACGGGUAGCCGGCCUGAGAGGGUGACCGGCCACACUGGGACUGAGACACGGCCCAGACUCCUACGGGAGGCAGCAGUGGGGAAUAUUGCACAAUGGGCGCAAGCCUGAUGCAGCAACGCCGCGUGAGGGAUGACGGCCUUCGGGUUGUAAACCUCUUUUAGCAGGGAAGAAGCGAAAGUGACGGUACCUGCAGAAAAAGCGCCGGCUAACUACGCG